RNAcentral lists this small RNA (967 nucleotides) under Homo sapiens (human). RNAcentral describes it as "novel transcript (ENSG00000292009.1)". The record is from RNAcentral. Lineage: Eukaryota; Metazoa; Chordata; Mammalia; Primates; Hominidae.
AUGAUAAAGAAAAAAUGAGGAAAUGCUGUGAAGAACUAAUAGAACGUUUCAGAAGCAGAACAAGUCGAGAGCAGUGAUGACCCUUUUGUUCCUGCUAGUACCUCCUGUCUGUCUGGCCGAACUCACCAUCAGAUGAUGUCUUGAACCUCACCUAGAUGGGCUGGUGGUGUGUGGCCAGGUUAAGAGCACCAACAGGAGUAAGAAAGUGACCUGCCUGGUUUUACCGUGUGUACUAGGGGAGGGGUUGAAAGCUUUCGGUUGAUACAUCACCUCUGGGAGUUGAAGAAGAAUGCAAUUAAGAGAGCUAAAGAAGUCAGUAUAGAAUCUGAAACUCAGAGGUCAACUGAUGUGUCAAAGAUACCUCCACAAAUCAGUACCUUGAUUAAAACUAAAAUUGGAGUCAUCUUCAUAUCUCCAUCUUUCUCCCUCUUCAUUAGGACCGAUUGUAGUCUGUUUCCCUCUCACUCACUUGCAAUCUUUAUUGCUUUAGUGUUGCAUUUGAUUUUUAUCUUUGUUUUUGUUUUAAAUACUGUCAUUAAAGUCAUAGAAAAAUCUAAAAUAAAACUGGUUGAAUAAAAAUUUUAAAAUCGACUCUAAUGUAAUAAACCAGACAAAAAUGAUACUUUAAAUGUUAUAUCUUCCCUUUAAACUACAAAUAUUCAUUGAGUGUAUACCCUGUAUUAGGCUGUUGGAAUAAAACAGGGAAGAAGACAGAAGAAACUGCACCGCCAUCUUAGAUCUUGCAGCCAAAUUCCUCUGAACUUUUCUCUAAAGACGUGCUCUGGAAAAAUGUUGAUCAGUUUCCUACAUCAUGGAGGUCUUUUCAUGACCACCUUUGUCUAGACAAUGUCCUGUUUUUAGGUGCACGUUUGAGGGCUGGAGUCUCUGACCCACAGUGCUGCAGCCUGCACGUGGUUUGUCCUGACUUCUUUGCUACUUCACUUUUCGUAAGGCUCUGAGAGUGCAG